Molecule: ribosomal RNA, 465 nt
Filed under: uncultured bacterium
Lineage: Bacteria
Description: bacterial SSU rRNA
Rfam family: Bacterial small subunit ribosomal RNA
Source: RNAcentral
GAUGAACGCUAGCGGCAGGCUUAACACAUGCAAGUCGAACGGCAGCACAGGUAGCAAUACUGGGUGGCGAGUGGCGCACGGGUGCGUAACGCGUAUGCAACCUACCUCUAUCUGGGAGAUAGCCCGAAGAAAUUCGGAUUAAUACCCCAUAAUAUAUGUCUUUCGCAUGUUAGACAUAUUAAAGCUUUGGCGGAUAGAGAUGGGCAUGCGUGACAUUAGCUAGUUGGUAAGGUAACGGCUUACCAAGGCUACGAUGUCUAGGGGGUCUGAGAGGAUUAUCCCCCACACUGGUACUGAGACACGGACCAGACUCCUACGGGAGGCAGCAGUGAGGAAUAUUGGACAAUGGGCGAAAGCCUGAUCCAGCCAUGCCGCGUGCAGGAAGACGGCCCUAUGGGUUGUAAACUGCUUUUUAUAUGGGAAUAAACCCACUCUAUUUAUGGGGUGUUGAAGGUACCAGAAGAA